GUUCCUUCCUUGGCAGUAAAUAUCCUUUUUUUUUUGUCAUGAAUUCUGUCUAUCUUCCUGAAUCCUUGCCUUGUUGAUAAUAGUUGUCAUUUACAGUUGAUCAUAUAUAAACUAUGGUGAUUACUAUGUACAGCAUUCUUCUUGAUCUACUCAUUUCACUUUGCAUCACUUCAUAUGUCUUUCCAGGUGAUCAACAUAUUCAUCAUUUAUAAUGGCCUAAUUGUAUUCUAUUAAAAGCAUAUAUCACAACUUGUUUAGCCAUUCCCCAAUUGAUGGGCAUCCCUUUAGCUUCCAGAAGUUUGACAGCACAAAAAGAGCUGCUAUACAUAUUUUUGAACAGUGUAUUUCUUGACUUUGAACUUCAUGUUACAUUUGGGUUCUGUUCCUUGGAUAUAGCUGGGAGUAGAGAAGGUAUCAAAAAUAUGUGAAUCUAUUUUAGAG
This 441-nucleotide long non-coding RNA is filed under the name Monodelphis domestica (gray short-tailed opossum). Its description in RNAcentral is "lncRNA (ENSMODG00000032919.2)". The record is from RNAcentral. Lineage: Eukaryota; Metazoa; Chordata; Mammalia; Didelphimorphia; Didelphidae.